Equus quagga is the source of this 700-nucleotide long non-coding RNA. RefSeq lists it as uncharacterized. Lineage: Eukaryota; Metazoa; Chordata; Mammalia; Perissodactyla; Equidae. The transcript has 5 exons. The record is from RefSeq and is a predicted model, not a curated record.
GCGGUAGAGCAUUGCUCCUUGCUGCAUUUGUGUCAGAUCCCUCAGUGGUUUCUGUAAAGCACUUCUGCGUCAUUGCACCCUCAUAUUGACAAGAGGGUGCUCCACCCAGUACUCGUGGGCUGGGACCAAAACGCAAGCCACUGAAAUAGUCAUCGAAUUAUGAGGGCGAAGAUUCGCUAUGGUUACUGGAAUGGCAUCUGAAGCCCCACUGUCUGGAAUCCAGUCCUGUCUUCACCGCGUCCUUUGGCUCAAGUCUCAGAAGGGAUCAAGCCUGGGGACCAGCCGAUAUCCUGUGCCAGUGUCCAGUGCUCCUGACCCUACCACUUAAGUAGAAAGAGCAUGGCUUUGGAGUCAGACAGAUAAGAUUCAGUUCCUCCUCCAGCAUUCACAAACUGGGUGCCUUGAGCCACAGGACUUCUGAGAAAUUAUACUACAAAAGUGGUGUCGGAUGAAGAGGUGAUCAAAGGAUACACAGGCCCAAAAUAUAAAAAAGGAAGCAAGGAGAUUUUUUUUGUAGACACACUCUAUGUGCAUUAGAAGGAAGCCAUUAUUGUAGGCAUUAAAAACGAUGGAGUCAUGAAGCUGAUGGGAUGUGAAGAUGUCCUUUCAUACAGCCCCUGCAAUCAGCCAGUUUAAAAGGUGUCUCUGGGCAGGGCAGGAGAGUUUUGGGCCCACAAGGUGAGAUUCUCUUCAUCAGAUU